CCCACGCUGCCCUCCGCGGUCGCGCGGGGCUCCCGGAGGUGGGCGCUCCCGUCUCUGCACGGCUGCACUGGGAUGGCCUGCCGUGGCUGUCGGCAGCGCGCGCCGUGCGCCCCGGGUCCGGCCUGAGCUGCUGCGUCACCCGGGAAGCCUGGGAACCCAGCUAUUGGGCAACCUUGUCGCCUCCCGCUGUGUUGCUCGCCCGGGCGACCUGCGGCUAAGUCUCCUCCCGGGCGGGGCGCUAGUGAAAGAGAGAAAAUAAGUGUUGCUGGCUGUUGACAUCCCGUGACGCUACUCGAUUCGUGUGUGGGCGGCCUAUGCCUGGUUCAUAAAAGAACUUUUACAACACUGCCUGGCCAGGGCCUCCCUGGAGGGCUAGUGGAAGGGUGUCGCGCCGAACUGGAACAAGAAAGGCCACCGGAGGGGCGUUGGUAACUGUCUGGGUCUAAGGUGCUGCACCUUAGUUGACAGUUUCUGUCAUUACUGUAUCCGCGGGCCUCAGUGUUGGAAACAGGAUCUCUUCAAGCAUGGAUAGUCUAUUACUACUGGGAGGCCAUAGCAGCCGGAGUUUGAGAGAGCUGGUUACAUCACUUCCAAAACAGAAAACCGUUGAACUGCUGCAGGACCAGGAAGGACAGAAACCCCAUCAACAGUCUGUGUGGAAGAGGAGAGCAUUACAGGCCAUGCCUUGGUUCUACAGCUCUAAGAAGAUGAUGCAAUCUCCUCUCCCUUGCACCUCAGGAAGAUGAGGAAUUUGCAUAAAGGACAUGUGGUAGUUGACUAAACCCAAGCACUUUAACUUAAGUCUGUGCUGUCAUUCAGCACAUAUCAAACACAAUCUAAUAGUUGCCUCAGUUCCUGAUCUCCGUCCUUUGAGAAGUUAGUCUGCUCUCAUCUUUGAGUUAUUUGUCAUAACUCGUCCUUAUAAUAGAAUUUCACAUCUUGGCUUCAGCAAAGUGCUUUUCUGCUGAUUGCAACAGCAAAGCCGUGAGUUUAAGUGGCUGUGAGUGGAAAUGGGAUACAAACCACAGAGAAAGUAACUGGUCAAAUCAAGAGAAGGGGAGGGAUAUACAGACUUCUCAUUAUAAGGUGAGAAUUUAGUGUGUUUUGCAGUAGCAAUUUUUUACCCCAAGUGGCUUAGAGCUCAGAUUAUAAAGUAGCCAAAUAUUUUUAAAACUUUCAAAAGUUUGGGUUACUAAAUACUAAGUUUCAAAAUGUACCUAAAAAGGAAAUACAUUCUAAACAAGGUUUUCAGGAGAAAGUGGGGUGUAUUAAUCAGGGUUUGUUGUAGGAGCCUGCUUGUUCAUUCCUGGCUACCCAGACAAUGAAAUAAUCACACAGAAACCAUAUUAUUUGCAAUACUGUUUGGCCAAUAGCUUAGCAUAUAUCGAGCUUGCUCUUAUAUUCUACUAACCUUCUCCAUUAAUCUGUGUAUUGCCACGUGGCUGUGGCUUACUAGCAAGGUUCUGGCCUGUGUCUGUCCCCGGCAGAGGCUACAUGGCUUCUCCCGAAUUGGCCUUCUUUUUUCCAACAUUCAGUUUAGUUUUCCCCAC
Myodes glareolus (Bank vole) is the source of this 1550-nucleotide long non-coding RNA. RefSeq lists it as uncharacterized. The record is from RefSeq and is a predicted model, not a curated record. NCBI's taxonomy places the organism in Eukaryota, Metazoa, Chordata, Mammalia, Rodentia, Cricetidae.